AAAAGUUCUCAAAAGAAUCAAUAAAAGGGUGGUGGAGGAGGAGAUGCAUACGAGACUCCGAUGACGGGUGGCAAAGGCCCUUCAUAUACAGGUGCAGGUGGUGGAGAUGACGGUGGUGGCGGUGAAUUGUAAUGAUAAACAGGUGUUGGAGGUGGCGGUGAUGGUGGUGGUGGUGAAUUAUAUUGAAUUGGGGGAGGUGGUGGUGAUGGUGAUGGUGGCGGAUGGUAAGGUGCAGAGUGUGGUGAUGGUGGUGGUGGUGAAUGCUCUUCACAAGGUGGUGGAGGUGGUGGCGGAGGAGGUGACUCUAUACAAGGUGGUGGAGAUGGGGGUGGCGGUGGUGGUGAAUAAACUGGUGGGGGAGGAGAGUGAACUGGAGGAGGUGGUGGCGGUGAUAAAUAGGGAUAAACUGGUGGUGGUGGUGGUGGUGAAUGUGGUGGUGGCGGUGGCGAAUGAGGUGGAGGUGGCGGUGGAGAGGCGGCGAAUACACUGGUGGUGGAGGUGGUGGCGAAUACACCGGCGGUGGGGGUGGUGGAGGGGAAUGAGGAAUGUAAACAGGCGACGGCGGAG
This 567-nucleotide long non-coding RNA is filed under the name Glycine max (soybean). RNAcentral's name for it is "long non-coding RNA (GMAX_LNC002052)". The record is from RNAcentral. Lineage: Eukaryota; Viridiplantae; Streptophyta; Magnoliopsida; Fabales; Fabaceae.